Long non-coding RNA from Passer domesticus (house sparrow), 181 nucleotides. RefSeq lists it as uncharacterized. Lineage: Eukaryota; Metazoa; Chordata; Aves; Passeriformes; Passeridae. The transcript has 3 exons. The record is from RefSeq and is a predicted model, not a curated record.
AUUUUGAUACAGAAAAAUAAUGGAUGUGUAAAUUGACAAUUGCUGAACCAGUCUUGUGGGACAGGGAACAACACCUGGACAGGGUGAUGAAGCUGCAGGUGAAGCCCAGCCUUACACCAAGUUUCCACUGUGAGUAUUUAAAACUGCAGGACAUCCUGGAUCCUAUUGCAUGGAGGGAUGC